This is a long non-coding RNA of Armigeres subalbatus, 1095 nucleotides long. RefSeq lists it as uncharacterized. The record is from RefSeq and is a predicted model, not a curated record. NCBI's taxonomy places the organism in Eukaryota, Metazoa, Arthropoda, Insecta, Diptera, Culicidae. The transcript is spliced from 4 exons.
GUUCACACUCGCAUUACCCGAUUUCGGAACGAAGUAUAAGUUUACUAGCGUUAGCCAUAGUAUAAAACUGCACAAAAUAGAUAUUAUAAUAGGCCACAAGGGCGUCCGCUUGCAAAUGCACAACCCACCCGGAAUUAUCUUGCCGAUCAGGACAAGAUACGACACUUCCGAAACACAUCUAACUGAGAGAGCAAAGCCGAGCCAAGCAGUACGUACGAUACAGUGAUCAAGUGCAGACGGAUGCAUGACCAGCACCGUCAGUGCAUUGACGUGUGGACGAUUAUAAACUGAGGGUAAAAUACAAUAUUUCCUGACAAGCAAAAUCUCACCAGAUACACCGGUGGACUGCUCGAGAUCAAUACUCCACGUGUGUGAACGACGGCGAUUAGCUACACGUUGUAGUUCUAUGUGAUCGCAUGCCCCAGUUGGCUCUGGUGAAGGUCACUUAAAGCUCGGGGAGAGCAAUCUAUUGUGUCUGUGGACUCGCUACUCAGGUAUCGCAUAACACGCACGAUCGUACGGACACUUUUGAUACCACAAGGCCUUCUACCACGGAAUAGAAGGCCUUUUUUUCUGUUUUCCAUAAUCUCCGAUCUCCAGCAUCGUUGGACGGUCAAGACUGUAACACAUCAGCACGUCGCACGACGGCAACGUCAUUGGAAACCACCACGCGGGACUCGCUCGAGAGACGGUCACCGGCCGCUUCAAUCCAACCAGUGCAGAAAGAGUGCAAGUAUUACGAGAAGCAGAGCGGGGAGCAAGGGAGGAAGCUCAUCGGCGAUCGCCGUCCGUCAGCCGGAUAGGGUGAAGACACCGAGCCGAGCAGCAUCCACAAUAGCCAGAGUGACGACGGCGGCGUGACCUGUCGUUCCAUGCAAGCAAGCGGACAGCGUAGGCUAAGUCAAAAUAGAUGGGCCCAUCGUAAGUUUUGAGACAAUUGUGCAUGUAUAGACACCUCUAGAAAUAGAAACAUUAGCAUGCUACUAUCGGUGAAUAAUUAGGCUAGGAAAAUCGUUGAUUCAAUCAAUAAAUGUAAAAUCUGUAAGGGUGAUCGAGUGUUAGUAUUUUGUUGUGGCGAGCUACGUGGCUUGGCGA